AAACAAUCUGUAGAAUACUCAGCCAGGUGCCUGAAUCUGACUACCAAUUUUGUAGAUUUAGGGGAGCUUUAGUAGAUCCUCAGAUCCCUUUACAUAUAUUGAUUUUAUUCCUCUCAGAUUCUGUACAACUUCUCCAUAAGAGUGUCCUUCAUUUGAAGAGAACAGCUGCUAGCAAGAUUUUUUCCUGUACCAGCCUCAAAGGCCCCACGUUGUGCUGAUCAACAAGUUAUCUGCUGUGCUUGGAAGUGGAACUGUGAAACGGUGCAUUCAAAGAAAAUGGAAUUAUGCAAAGGAGAGAAAAAAAAAAAAGGAAAUAAAGAUUUUUUAAAGGCC
RNAcentral lists this long non-coding RNA (333 nucleotides) under Anser brachyrhynchus (Pink-footed goose). RNAcentral describes it as "lncRNA (ENSABRG00000020616.1)". Lineage: Eukaryota; Metazoa; Chordata; Aves; Anseriformes; Anatidae. The record is from RNAcentral.